RNAcentral lists this ribosomal RNA (466 nucleotides) under uncultured bacterium. RNAcentral's name for it is "partial 16S ribosomal RNA". It matches the Rfam family "Bacterial small subunit ribosomal RNA", at positions 28 to 507 of the family's 1533-position model. The record is from RNAcentral.
GACGAACGCUGGCGGCGUGCUUAACACAUGCAAGUCGAACGGAGAAGCAGAGCUUGCUCUGUGGAUCAGUGGCGAACGGGUGAGUAACACGUGAGUAACCUGCCCUUGACUCUGGGAUAAGCGUUGGAAACGACGUCUAAUACUGGAUACGAAGACCGAAGGCAUCUUCUGGUCGUGGAAAGAAUUUUGGUCAAGGAUGGACUCGCGGCCUAUCAGCUUGUUGGUGAGGUAAUGGCUCACCAAGGCGACGACGGGUAGCCGGCCUGAGAGGGUGACCGGCCACACUGGGACUGAGACACGGCCCAGACUCCUACCGUACGCAGCAGUGGGGAGUAUUGCACAAUGGCCGCAAGCCUGAUGCAGCAACGCCGCGUGCGGGAUGACGUCCUUCUGGUUGUAAACCUCUUUUAGUAUGGAAGAAGCGAAAGUGACGGUACCUGCAGAAAAAGCACCGGCUAACUACGUG